AUAUAUUAACCUUCUAAUCCUAUUAGUUUACCUAUGUGAAUCGUAAAAGAUUUGCAGUACAUCAGUGUUAUGUUAUGCUAUCAACUUCGAGAGCAAAUUAUCAAUUCCUAUCUAUACUAUGUUUCUUUUACAAUGUCUCGCAGAAAGUAUAAGGAUUACUAUAGUUGCAACAUAUCACCUUUCUAUCAUCUAACAUUCACUCCGAUCUGAAGAUGCAUCGCCUCACAGUGGAAAUAGGUGCUCCACACUGCUCAAUGCUAUUUCCAAAAAGAAAACAAGAAGAAUUAACAAACAAGCAAAGAGAAGUAACGAAAACAAAAAGUGAAAAAAAGGCCUAUAUAAGAUGGUCUUGAAACAUACUACAAAUGUAAAAAAGACUAAGCUCUUGCCGAUGUACCUUUGCAUUGUACUACCAAUCAGCAUAUCGGUAGGAGUAAAACAUAUAUUCGUGCUCAUCAAAUACCAGAUGACAAGUUUAAUACCGACUCCAGGCUUAGGUGAAUAGGUAAAAAAGAAUGACUUGGCGCAAAUCAAGUUGCAUUAAUUUUACAAUACACAGAGCUUACUUUGUCACCCUCAGCUAUAAUAAAACCACAAGACCUAUCGUAACAAGGACAUAGUAUCAGCACUGAUAGUUAACAGCACAAGGUCAUUGUUUUAUGGACAAAAUAUCAAAAGAGAAGUAGUACUGUUAAAUGCCACACAAAAGAGAAGUACUUUUCUUCACUUACACUUACUGAUUCAUUAGAGAGACUCCUCGCAAAAUGGUUAUCAUUCAUCAAACAUUGCAUUUGUUAUCGGCUAUGAUAUCUUGGAACAUAAAU
RNAcentral lists this long non-coding RNA (824 nucleotides) under Nicotiana tabacum (common tobacco). RNAcentral's name for it is "long non-coding RNA (NTAB_LNC016226)". Lineage: Eukaryota; Viridiplantae; Streptophyta; Magnoliopsida; Solanales; Solanaceae. The record is from RNAcentral.